CCUACGGGAGGCAGCAGUGGGGGAUAUUGCACAAUGGGGGAAACCCUGAUGCAGCGACGCCGCGUGUGGGAAGACGGUCUUCUGGAUUGUAAACCACUGUCCCCAGGGACGAAAAUGACGCUACCUGGGGAGGAAGCUCCGGCUAACUACGUGCCAGCAGCCGCGGUAAUACGUAGGGAGCAAGCGUUGUCCGGAAUUACUGGGUGUAAAGGGAGCGUAUGCGGGGAUGCAGGUUGGGGGUCAAAACUACCGGCUCAACCGAGAGUCGCACUCAAAACUGCAGCUCUUGAGUGAAGUAGAGGCAGGCGGAAUUCCUGGUGUAGCGGUGAAAUGCGUAGAUAUUAGGAGGAACACCAGUGGCGAAGGCGGCCUGCUGGGCUUUUACUGACGCUGAGGCUCGAAAGUGUGGGGAGCAAACAGGAUUAGAUACCCUUGUAGUC
This 440-nucleotide ribosomal RNA is filed under the name uncultured bacterium. RNAcentral describes it as "partial 16S ribosomal RNA". It matches the Rfam family "Bacterial small subunit ribosomal RNA", at positions 338 to 795 of the family's 1533-position model. The record is from RNAcentral.